GUUCCUAUGGUCUAGUGGUUAUGACGCUUCGUUGUGGUCUAGAAGCUCCGAAGCAGCCCGUGUUCGAUUCACGGUGGGGACA
Molecule: non-coding RNA, 82 nt
Organism: Ceratobasidium sp. 414
Lineage: Eukaryota; Fungi; Basidiomycota; Agaricomycetes; Cantharellales; Ceratobasidiaceae
Source: the annotation of a GenBank genome assembly